AUGUCACGUUUCCAGGAAAUAACGGGAGCGAGGUUUGGAUUCAGGAGGGGAGGGAGAGGGAAAUGCGGGGAACUACAAAUAUUCCCGGAGGGUUCAGGUUUGCUGGAGGAAGGAGACAAAAAAAUCGUUAAAAUCUCAUUGAGGAGACACCAAACAAACAAACAAACAAACAAACAAAGGAGAAGCCGCACAAAAGUUGGAGAAAUGCGGAGAAAUUGCAGAGAAUCGCCGGCGGGGCGGGAGCAGGAGGAGGCUCCAAGGAUGCGCGGCUGGCGGAGGGAUGGAGCCGCGUUUCUAAGGAGACCAGGACGGGCCGUGAUUCCAGCCGGGAGAGGAGAAUUCCUGCUCCGGGAGAGGAGAAUUCCUGCUCCGGGAGCCGCGGGCAGCGAGCGAGGGGCUGCAGGAGCAGCGAGGGAAAAUCCCGCAUCCCAAACCCGGGAGGCGGCACCGAUCCUCCCCGGAAUUCCCGGUGCCCCGGGCUUGUUCCUGCACAGGCCAGCCCGGCUUCCAUCCAGGAAUUAUCCCGGAUUUCCCCCCACAUCAUCCCGAAACCCGGCAAACAGCGAUGUCACAUUCCCGGUUUUCCAGCAGGUUCUGGGACUGAUCUCCUCCCAUCCCGGGAAGGAGCUGCCACCGCCAACCUCCCCCAUCCCUGGAUCGUCCUGUGCCGUGGGGAGGGAAAACCUCGGGAAUCCCAUCCCAAAACCUCGGGAAUGCCAUCCCAAAACCUCGGGAAUAGCAUCCCAAAACCUCGGGAAUCCCAUCCCAAAACCUCGGGAAUCCCAUUCCAAAACCUCGGCAAUCCCAUCCCAAAACCUUGGGAAUCCCAUCCCAGACACUCCCAGCAUCCAGGGGGGGAUUUUUGGGAAGAAGGGAAGGGGAAGGGGAAGGGGAAGGGGAAGGGGAAGGAUUGGGAUGCAAUCCCAAAGGAAGAGGCUGGAUGGCUCCAGUGCCAGCCUGGCUCCUGCCACGUUUUCCAUGGCUGCGGGGGCUUUUCCAGCUCCUGCAGGAGGUGCCUGGAUCCCCUGGGAUCAAGGAGCAGCUCCUGGGAAUGCUGGAGCCCAGCACGGAGCAUCCCGGUGCUGCCAGCGCUCCCGGGAUCCACAGGCAGGAGAAGCAGCGGGAUAA
This 1128-nucleotide long non-coding RNA is filed under the name Taeniopygia guttata (zebra finch). RNAcentral's name for it is "lncRNA (ENSTGUG00000020952.1)". The record is from RNAcentral. Lineage: Eukaryota; Metazoa; Chordata; Aves; Passeriformes; Estrildidae.